This 264-nucleotide ribosomal RNA is filed under the name Spinomantis sp. 2 MV-2009. RNAcentral's name for it is "partial 16S ribosomal RNA". Lineage: Eukaryota; Metazoa; Chordata; Amphibia; Anura; Mantellidae. The record is from RNAcentral.
UAUAAGACGAGAAGACCCCAUGGAGCUUUAAACCUGACUACACCCCUAUUUAUUAUACCCUUAAAUCAACAGGGCCUUUGUCUGUCGGUUUUAGGUUGGGGUGACCGCGGAGCAUAAAUUAACCUCCAAGAUGAACUGGACUAACCCAUUAUUUAAGAUUUACACCUCAAAGAAUCAGCACACUGACAUAAAAUGAUCCGACAUUCGAUCAACGAACCAAGUUACCCUGGGGAUAACAGCGCAAUCUACUUCAAGAGCCCCUAU